AAAAUAGAUUGAAUGAAAGAGAUGGAUAGAGUGUAGUGUUGCCCUCCAUUUGUACAGUUGUUAAAUCCGUUGUCUUUGUGUCUCUGUGGUGGAUUUGACUGGCAGGCGCUCAGUCUUGUGUUAGCUGGUUUCUCUUUGGUUUCUUGAUUGUGGAAGGAUUGAUGAGGAUGGCGAUACAGCACACUCACCUAGCACUGCUGUACACCUGGACACAAGAGCUGCACUGACAGGUCUGCCAAGUGGUCACGACAGACAGACGAUAACUGUCCACAUCAGUGAACGUCCUUGGCUCAGGAGAACUAUCCAACCAAUCAGGAGAGGUGUGGGGCGACGCCGUCCAAUUGGUGGGGAAGAAAUGUUGGGGCAGGGCGGGCAUGUGGCCCUGGCUCUCGUGUCAUUGCUACUGCUGUGGCACAAAGCAGCACCCAUUGAAGUCCCACAAGAC
This is a long non-coding RNA of Micropterus salmoides (largemouth bass), 445 nucleotides long. RefSeq lists it as uncharacterized. The transcript is spliced from 3 exons. NCBI's taxonomy places the organism in Eukaryota, Metazoa, Chordata, Actinopteri, Centrarchiformes, Centrarchidae. The record is from RefSeq and is a predicted model, not a curated record.